AUCUAGCUGACGAGUCCCAAAUAUGACGACACGCACGUCAAACUAGAU
Molecule: non-coding RNA, 48 nt
Organism: Schistosoma rodhaini
Lineage: Eukaryota; Metazoa; Platyhelminthes; Trematoda; Strigeidida; Schistosomatidae
Source: Rfam